GAUGAAGAACGUAGCGAAAUGCGAUAAGUAAUGCGAAUUGCAGAAUUCAGUGAAUCAUCGAAUCUUUGAACGCACAUUGCGCCCGCCGGUAUUCCGGCGGGCAUGCCUGUUCGAGCGUCAUUUCAACCAUCAAGCCCUGGGCUUGUGUUGGGGACCUGCGGCUGCCGCAGGCCCUGAAAUGCAGUGGCGGGCUCGCAAGACACACCGAGCGUAGUAGCUUACAACCUCGCUUUGGGAGUGCUGCGGGUGCUGGCCGUAAAGCGACCUUUUGCGUCUUUAGCACUAGGUUGACCUCGGAUCAGGUAGGAGGACCCGCUGAACUUAAGCAUAUCAAUAAGCGGAGGA
Molecule: unclassified non-coding RNA, 345 nt
Filed under: soil metagenome
Description: partial contains 5.8S ribosomal RNA, internal transcribed spacer 2, and large subunit ribosomal RNA
Rfam family: 5.8S ribosomal RNA (bases 1-120)
Source: RNAcentral